This 906-nucleotide long non-coding RNA is filed under the name Dasypus novemcinctus (nine-banded armadillo). RNAcentral's name for it is "lncRNA (ENSDNOG00000051979.1)". Lineage: Eukaryota; Metazoa; Chordata; Mammalia; Cingulata; Dasypodidae. The record is from RNAcentral.
GGACAGCACAGCCACUCCGUCCCCAAAACUGGGGCGGCCACCCACGCCCCGAGUCUGCAGAGGGGCGCGCAUGGCCUGCGGAGGCCGGGGGCUGCCGGGUCCUGCCGCGGCUGUGUACAACCCCCCCCCAGGUGGAAAGACAGACCCGCGAGCGCGCACGCGCUCCCGCAGGCCUGCAGACUCCCGGGGGCUUCCAGGCACACGGGAGUUGGAGACGCCGACACGUGGAAACGUGUCUGUCCUUCCAGUGCCUUCCACGCCCGACACAGAGGGGAGCGGAGCAGCCGGACGGCCAGGGUCAAGCGGGCACUGGGGCGGGCAAAGGCACCGGUGGUCUUGGCGCAGCGCGAGGAUCAGCCCACUGUCCCGCGGAGGCUCCGGGGUGGGGACGUGCAACCGGCAGACGCCCCCUCCGGAGGACAGAGACGCGAUCGCUGACCACACCACCCCUCGGGGGGCGGGCCGCUCGUCGUGCCCUAUUUGAACAUUCCACCCCGUGAGUGUAUCUGGAGGAAGGGCGGAGCGGGCGGCUCAGAGGCUGCGUGUGGAAGUCAGGCCCUGGGCCUGGGGGUCGAGCCUAGCCACGACCCUGCCUGGGAGCGCUCGCGGAGCUGACCGUGACCUCCUCGGCCCAGAGCCCAGCCCAGGCAUGUGAUCACAGAGAAGGAGGCUGGGCUGGGAGGGUCCCGCCCGAGCCCUCCCCUGGCGAUACCCUUCCAGACCAUGCUCCAGGCACCUGGGACCCCAGGAUGCCACCGAGGGGGACUCUGCUUCAAACGCAUCCGGAAGCAGCGCCCUGGUCUGUGGACCAGCGAGUCCUCAAAACUCCUGGUCUUCCAUCCAUUUCACAGCCCAGGAGACUGAGGGCCGAGAGGGCAAAGGACCUUCCCGUGACAUGCAGCCUCG